This 622-nucleotide ribosomal RNA is filed under the name uncultured bacterium. Its description in RNAcentral is "bacterial SSU rRNA". The stretch from base 1 to 542 matches the Rfam family "Bacterial small subunit ribosomal RNA", at positions 338 to 873 of the family's 1533-position model. The record is from RNAcentral.
CCUACGGGAGGCAGCAGUGGGGAAUCUUGCGCAAUGGGCGAAAGCCUGGCGCAGCGACGCCGCGUGGGGGAAGAAGGCCUUCGGGUUGUAAACCUCUUUCAGCAGGGACGAAGCCACUCGGGUUAAUAGCCCAGAGGGUGACGGUACCUGCAGAAGAAGCCCCGGCUAACUACGUGCCAGCAGCCGCGGUAAUGCGUAGGGGGCAAGCGUUGUCCGGAUUUAUUGGGCGUAAAGAGCGUGUAGGCGGCCAGACAAGUCCGUUGUGAAAACUAGAGGCUUAACCUCUAGACGUCGAUGGAAACUGUUUGGCUAGAGUCCGGAAGAGGAGAAUGGAAUUCCUGGUGUAGCGGUGAAAUGCGCAGAUAUCAGGAAGAACACCCGUGGCUAAGGCGGUUCUCUAGUACGGUACUGACGCUGAGACGCGAAAGCGUGGGGAGCGAACAGGAUUAGAUACCCUGGUAGUCCACGCCGUAAACGAUAGGUGCUAGGUGUGGGGGUGUCGACUCCCUCCGUGCCGAAGCUAACGCAUUAAGCCACCCGCCGCGGAGGUACGGCCGCGAGACGUAAACUUAAAUAGAUAGACGGCGNGAGACGNGCCGACGACGACGACGAGGGAGGUAGG